GAUUUCAGCUACGCAAGUAACAUAGCUGAAGUUUCGUAUCUUAAUUUGACUUUAGCCCGCAGUGUAGACAUACCCUGUAAGAGACAGGAAGGCUGGUCUUGGCUUUAAGACACAGAGCUGAGACCUAAGAAUUCUGGUUUCCAUUCCCAGCUCUGCUACAGUCUCUCUGUGGACAUACCCUCAGUGAGCUUGUGCAAGUCACUUCAUCUCACUGGGUUUCAGUUUAACCACCUACAAAGCAGGGCUCACAAUCCUUUAUUUGUCUAGUUAGAUGGAGCUUUUCAGGACAAGAGAUGUCUCUCAGUGGUUGUCUUAAGGCCUGGCACAAUGGGGGCCUUGGAUCAGACCUCCUGGUUUCUCUACCUUCUCCUGCCAUUAUGACUAUAGCCAGCUUGCUUCCUCUCUGUGCCUCAUUUUGUCUUUGCCAGGGGUUAACUUAUGAACAAGCUUUGAGCUCUUUGGCAGCAAGAGGCCUGAGAAGGGGAGGGGCAGAAGCAGUAGGAGCCCUGGACAGCCACAGGAAUGUUAUCUGAUCAUGCUGAGAGCUGCAAUUUCACCCCCCACGCUCCAGUUUACAUCUCUCCUAUUGCACUCUGGUUAUGAACUAGCAAAGGAGAAAGAAAUGGAGAGCAGCUCCUUCAUAAUUGGCCAGGAGUCAGGACAGUGCCCUGAAAUAACCCUCUGUGUAGAGGAAAAAGAAGGUGAACUGAAAAUACAAGACUAACAAAACAUAUAGAUGGUAUCAUAAGCUUUUGUGGGCACAGCCCGCUUCUUCAGAUGACCGGAGUGUUGGAUGUCCAGAACUCAGUGUUUUUAGUUCUGGACAUCCAACACUCUGGUCAGCUGAAGAAGUGGGCUGUGCCCGUGAAAGCGCAUGAUACCAUCUACAUGUUUUGUUAGUCUUUAAAUGCUACCAGUCUAUUUUUUGUUUUUUAAGUUUAUCCUGUACAGACUAACUCGGCUACCCCCUGAAGCUUUUGAAAAUAUAAGAUGAGGAAUAAAGGUUCCUUGGGGAACUGUUACCUUCUCCUCCCAGUAGUACAGUAGUGCGAGAGUGAGAUCUAGUGGUUAGAGAAGGAGAGGCUGGGCGUGAAGGUCAGCACUCUUAGGGUAUGUCUAGAGUACAUGGCUGGGUAUAGUUUACCCAGCAUAGGCAAAGAAGUGGGGAAUUAAAUAAUGCCCACUUCAUUAAAAUAAACAUGGCCACCACGCUGUGCCGACGAUCAGCUGAUCCAGCACAGCGCGGCAGUCUAGACGCGGAUCUGACAGCUGGGGAAGCCUUUGUUGACCGCUCCUGUAAACCUCGUUUCUUUGCCUAUGCCAGGUAAACUAGUUUACAUGACUCCAUCGACGGAGCCAUGUAGUCUAGACAUAGCCUUAGGUUCUAUCCCAAGUUCUGGGAAGGGAGAGGGGCCUAGUGGGCAGCAUUGGGGGCAGGGGAGCUUGGACUCACAACUCUUGGGUUCUAUCUUACUCUGGCAGGAUUUAGAGUUGAAUAGGUCAGAAUAAGGUUUUAUUUCAGCUCUGGGACAGGACUGUGAUCUAGUGGCUA
Pelodiscus sinensis (Chinese soft-shelled turtle) is the source of this 1552-nucleotide non-coding RNA. The record is from RefSeq and is a predicted model, not a curated record. Lineage: Eukaryota; Metazoa; Chordata; Testudines; Trionychidae.